RNAcentral lists this ribosomal RNA (460 nucleotides) under Blastocystis sp. RNAcentral describes it as "partial small subunit ribosomal RNA". It matches the Rfam family "Eukaryotic small subunit ribosomal RNA", at positions 470 to 927 of the family's 1831-position model. The record is from RNAcentral. Lineage: Eukaryota; Bigyra; Opalinata; Blastocystidae.
UUUUUUUUUUUUAAUAAAGAGAAAGUCUUAUUCUGUUAAUUAAUUUGGCAGCAAAGAACAAUCAUUCUUAAUAAACAACUAUUGGGAUAGUAGGGUGGCUGCAGCCGGGGGAGUUCCAGCUGCAAUAGCGGAUAUUAACGAUGUUGCAGUUAAAAAAAUAGUAGUUGAUGAAGAGAUAAUUAAUUGAAAGAAGUGGUAUUCGUUCAUUCUACUUUUAUGUAAGUAAUUGACAUCCAGCCGGGUGGUGUGGUUCUUUCGGGGGGUGGGGUGGUAGAUUGGUCAUUUAUUAUGAGAAAAAAAAAGUGUUUAAAGCAGACUUUUUUCAAAAUAGUUUGAAUAGAUUAGCAUGGAAUAAUAAGAUUGGCUUUCAUAGUCGAUUUUUUGGUUUGUUUAUGAAAGCAAGAUUAAUAGGGACAGUUGGGGGUAUUCAUAUUCAAUAGCUAGUAGUGGACUGAUGGCU